This is a long non-coding RNA of Homo sapiens (human), 169 nucleotides long. NCBI's taxonomy places the organism in Eukaryota, Metazoa, Chordata, Mammalia, Primates, Hominidae. The record is from Ensembl.
UCAGAGGCAAGGAGCUCACGAGGCUGGAGUCCCAACUGGACCAAGAAGCGUGUUCCCUGCCCCUUCAGCUGGAUGGAGACAUUUGGAGGGAUGCCCUGCCCUAGCCCACCUCACUCUCACCAUGUCAACAGGACUUCUAUGGAAAUAUGCGUAUGAUGAGAAGCAGAUC